CCGAAAAAAUAACAAAAAAUCUACCAACAAGAAUUUCCAAAUUUCCACUUCCCCAGUCACGACAAAGAUCUCCUUGCCUCCUCCCCUUUGGAUUCUCUCCCUGUCCGUCCUCUACCUAAACCGGCGAGCUCGCGCUUCCCAAUCUCGCCGAAUCCCUCCACCUUCGUCUCGAGAAUCCUCCCAUUAACCUCCGGAAGGAGUCGAUUUAUGGGACGAUGGCAGUGGCUAUUGGGGUUAUUUUUAUCAGCUUAUUCGCUGUUUUUGGAGGAAGAGGUUAACUAUGGACUGCAAGAAGUUCAGCUCAUGACCUUUGGACAACCUCAUGUUGGCAAUGCUGCUUUUAUCUCCUACUUCAGCAAACAUGUACCACAUACUGCUUGGGUGACAUAUGAGAAUGAUGUAGUGCCACAUCUCCCACCAUAGUGUACUUAUUUCCCUCAAAAGACAUCAUCACUUCCCAUUUGAGGUACGGCUGCAUAACAUUGGAGCAGGAAACAGGACAUAUCUGGUUGAGAAGAUUUGUGAUGGAUCUGGAGAAGACCCAGCUUGUAGCAGGCCUGUGCAUGGGAACAACAUAUUGGACCAUCUUAAGUAUUAUGGCAUUGAAUUAGGGUCUGAUGGUUCAGGCUCCUGUAAAGUAGUAAUGGAUACCAAUAUUGGAGAGUACCAUGCGGACCUUGGUGGCAGCAAUGUCUUGUCAAGGGAUCCUACCACAUCAUCAUUUUGAAAGCUGAAUUUAUCAACAGAGGCUUGCAGUAGCUCUGCAUAGUAUUCAUUUACUUGUGAAUUGAUGCUAAAAGAUUUGAUGAUUCUCUGCUUGCUAAGGUCCUGGAGAAAUGUGUCAGUAUUCAGUGUAAAUGGUUCUAUUGUUCUUCCACGGUCACCGAGGUUGUGUAUAUAAAACUAACCUUUUUAACCAAUGGAACUCCAGAUUAUAUUGGUUGUUCACUGUA
Phoenix dactylifera (date palm) is the source of this 953-nucleotide long non-coding RNA. RefSeq lists it as uncharacterized. Lineage: Eukaryota; Viridiplantae; Streptophyta; Magnoliopsida; Arecales; Arecaceae. The record is from RefSeq and is a predicted model, not a curated record.